AUACAUGCCAUCAUAUGCCAGACGUGCAAUGCCCCUCUGCUAUGUACAUCGGCCAUACAGGACAGUCGCUACGGAAAAGGCUAAACGGAUACAAAUCAGAUAUUAGGAAUGGCAAUUAUAUAAAAACCUGUAGAAGAACACUUCAACCUUCCUGGCCAC
Molecule: non-coding RNA, 159 nt
Organism: Chelonoidis abingdonii (Abingdon island giant tortoise)
Lineage: Eukaryota; Metazoa; Chordata; Testudines; Testudinidae
Source: RefSeq, a predicted model, not a curated record